Molecule: long non-coding RNA, 8566 nt
Organism: Gasterosteus aculeatus aculeatus (three-spined stickleback)
Lineage: Eukaryota; Metazoa; Chordata; Actinopteri; Perciformes; Gasterosteidae
Source: Ensembl
UUUAGAUUUAAUAUGUAUUUAUACUCUUGCUCCUUUAAGUUUUAAAUAUAUUAUGUGUUCACCUGUCUUUUGACAUAAAAAUUAUGAGUUGAAUGAAUUCACAACUGAGCAUUCAUUCAACUUAUUAAAUGAAGCGUGCUCUGUUUGAGAGUUCAGACUUCCCUUGGAUGUUUUAACAAGAAGAACAUCCUGGCGAGGUUGCUGGUCCCUGGCGAUGCUCUUUACUUAAUCUGGAAACCUUCUUCAGUGGUUAACAACACUUUAGAGUGUGAACAUACGGUAACAUCCUUUUGUCUUCGCUCCUGCAUUUGAAAACCCACGGGGGCUUUAUUACGUGGCAGCGUGGCAGCGAGUGCAUACUCGAGGAUGCAGUAGUGUGCAUAGUCGCAUACAAUCACGCGCCGAUAUCUUUGGAGAGACAGCGACCCGUGCUCAGAGACGCCCGGCCUUCUGAAGGCGAUAUCUUUUUGAAUUCCUCAGCGGACAAUAAUGACCCUACAGAGAGUUGCAUCAGGCCAUUACAGUCCUAAUGGGUCUUUGCAUCUCUACGCUGUCUGUUUAUAUGUAUGCAAACAGUCCCUGUGUGUUUGAGUGAGUCUAAUGCUCCUGUGGGGGCUCCCGGUACGUGCCUGCUCAAUGCCACAUCCACGAUGGAUGGCAGCUCAAUUGAAUAAAGGGGCUCACCACUGCACAAUACAGCCAACGUGCUGAAUUCACAAUGAGGACUGGAUUUAUACCCCCCCUAUGUGUGUCUAAAUUAGCAUUUCUAACCCCUCCGUGUAUGUGUGUGUAUGUGUGCAUUUGCUGUCAUCUCCAACUGGGACCUCUCCAUAAAUGCUACAGGCAAUAAAUCCCAAAACCCCAGAGGGAAAUAUCCGUCUUGUUACAGGGCAGUGUCCAUGCUUUAGUGGACCGCAGCCCAGAGACGGAGAGUUUGUAAAAAGAAAGCCUUGCCAGAGCUAUCAGAUGCAUCCUGCUUUUGUGAAAGCGGGUUGUUAUUGUUGUGGCAGGAGAUGGGGUUGCCUAUUCCUGGCGCAAAACGAAAGCACGGGUGAAAAGGGAGAGGCCGAUUUUUAGGCUUUGACAUGACAGAUUACGGUCAGCGUUUUUUUUUAAGGUGCUUUAAAAAAACAAAGGUGAUUCUGACAUUCUGUCAUGGAAGAACAAGUCUGCAAACUCAAGCCAUGCUCGCUUAAUAUUCAAUACAUCGAUGUUCGUGCCAAGCUGCAGUCACAGCUGACGUCUUUGUUUUCCAAAGUUUCUUUCACUGGGCUGCUAAAGAUUCGCUCCAAACUUGAGAGAGGGUUGUUCUGCAAGUGCCUCGACAACGGCGGUGGGGAGACGUCGCUAAUUCCACACCUGCCAUCAUUGUGCUCGCGAUUUCUAUGGCCUCCUCGCGCUUUCGACAACAAUAACCCCCACAUCGGGCUAAUUGCAUGCUGCAAAAGCCUCCGCUCCUCGAAACAUUUCUAUGUGUGUCUCAGAGGGCAGGAGGCUUCAUUUGACUUCACGGAAAAAGACAAAAAAAAAAAAAAACAACGUGAAUUAUCUGUAGUUAUAAUGUGUGGAUAUUAGUGAGUAUCUUCACACGCUCAAGUGACAGCUCUCGGCAUUAUUCUCACUUACAACAACUGACUGAGAGAAUGAGGGGAUCAAUUUGUCUCAGUCUCCUACUGCUGUGAAUGGAGCCCAUUUUCCUUAUCUCUUCAAAACACCACUACUCCGUGCCUGGUCUGGGCAGAGAUGCUUUCAUUAUUUGCCUAUGAAUCAGUAUUUAGGGAGGGGGGGGGGGGGGUAUGCCUUCAUCUGAGUGGUGCCAAACCCUCAAAGCUGUGUGAUACGGCAACUUGCAAUCAAAUGGCACGAGUUCGCACGUGCGCCCGUGGUAAAAAUGCAGGCGACGAAACGAGUGAACAAAAGGUUCAGGAGCAACUUGGUUAAGUGUAUCUGCACAGAGCCCCUUGGAGAGCCUCAACACACACACACACACACACACACACACACACACGCACAAUUUUACAGUGUGCAACACAGCAAAAGCAGCACUCCGAGUCAAGCCCUCCGGUCUCCCUCCUCAUCUCCUCUUCCUCGCCAACUGUUUCUCCCUCGCCGUCUCUCCAUCUGUGUCAGUGGACGCUCUUACGUCUCUCGAUAAGGCUCACGAAGAAUCAUAGGACCAUAGAAGUAAGUCACCUCUUUUUCUUCCGUCUUCCCCCCAUCUUUCCUCAGGGGUGAGCAUUGGCUAAAACUACGGCGGUGAGGCUGCGUGUCCCCGUGUGCCGUACUGUGUGUCACUUUCUCUCCCCCCCCCCCUCUCACUGUCCUCCCUACCCCUCACUCCCUGCCCGCUAUCUCGUAUGAUUGUUGCUCGUGCGCAGACUGAUGAACAACCAAUCUAUAUUCUGCGGCGAUUACAGGGGCUUUGUGAGAGUGAAGGCAAGGAGACGGUCAUGUGAAAUGUAAACGGGGAGACAUUGAUUAGUAUUCUGAACUCUGAUUCAGCGUGCGGUUUUUGCCAAUUUGUCCGUGAGUCUGUGUUUUCCGUGUCCAUGUCGGCUCCAUUACUCUGUCUGCCAGAUGAUGACUUCUGAUCACCUGCUUUCCACGACUCUCUCGACGUGUUUCGUGACCUGCACUCUUUACGAGCGCCAGGAUCUCCCACAAGUCAUUAAAGAGUGACGUCCAGAAACAAAAAGCAGCAGCAAAAUAUACCGGACGUGCGUUGCAUAUUUCAAUAAUGUCAUUCUGAGGUGUGCAUGUUUACUUCGCUUCGCUUUGUCUCACUGGCUCAGUGUCCUUCUGGAUACAAGGACAAACUAAUCCGGUUGCACUUGGCUAUGCCGCAGGAGUACGGCUUUUGCAUCUCGUUGCUUAUUUCAUUGACUUACGGUGGUGAUGGCUGGCAGAGUAAUUACAAUAGGCCACUGUGAGGUUGAAUAAUUGAUGUGCUUUUUGGCGCUGAGGCAUGCUGAAAAACCUAUCCGCCCGGAGUCCAGUCAGUAGUUUAUCACCGGGGUAAGAGAGGGGCGAGUGUGGCCUGACUGCCAAUGCUCAGUGCUGUGAUAAUGAUGCAGGUCCGGGCCCGUAAGCACCAGCAACACUGGGAGUUGGCUCCCAACUGGACUAGCCAUGCCGUGCAUCAAUACUGGAAAGAGGAAUGGUUCCAAGCAAAAGACGUUCCCAAACUAUCUGCCAUCCAUGUCCAAUGUCUCUUUGUUACUGCUUGUAAUAAACUAAACGUUUAAAAGAACGGAUAGCUUUGCUUUGGCUGCGUGGAAUUACAGGUAAGCAUUCAGGCGGGAUGAUGAAAUUGGAUUUUUCUUUUUGUUCAUACCCAAGAACAAAAUGCACACAGGUUUGUAACAGUGUGCAUUGUGAAACUGCAUUUUACAACUUCAAUGUUACAACAAUCGGGAGAGCUACAACUGUCCUCUGUCACAACUACCACACUGUAAACAGUAGAUGCAGCCGAUGCAGUUCCUGCAGCCAUAAACAGCUCACUUGGCCAGAUGAACCUUUUGUUUCCUUUGUUAUCAUUUCAGUUAAACAGGCAGACUGGAUGUGGCUCCGACAUCUGUGAACACAAAAAAUUGUCACCGAUCUGAUCUAUUGUUGCAUCACUUUGUGAUUUCCUGAAUUUUCUCAGAAUGUUUACCAGAAAAAUAGUUGUCUCAGAGGGUGUGUGUGUGUGUGUGUGUGUGUGUGUGUGUGUGUGUAUUGGUGGAUUCUUCUGGGCUUCUGGCAUCCCUAUUUUAGUUAUUCCUAUAAAUAAAUGGAUACAACACUGCACUUAGGAACGGGGUACAUUUGUAGAGUAUAGAUCAUAAAUGGCAUCCCCCCUCGUAUGAUAGUAAGAUGUAAAGCACUUCAGAAAGCCACAUUGAUUGUAUUCCAUAUCACACUGUGCCAGACACAAGUUGUGCUGCCGUCCACAGAGAUUUCUUCUCUUUUUCACUCAAAUAAUCCCUUUUCUGCUUUGUUACCAAGGCUUGGCUCAGACUCUUGGUCAGUCUGCCGCUUUCUAUGUCUGGCUUUCCUUCCCUUACUCUAUCUUACUCGCAUAGCAUCCAUUAUGUACUGGCCAGAAAUUAAAGAACACAAACACAGUAAGUAUAAUAAAGGUGUAUUGGUUAAAUAUAUAUUUAUCAUUAUACUGUCUGAAUGCAUGUUCCUUUUAAGCCUCGUAACAACGUUGAUGGGCGAAUGUUAUGAGGAACAACAGGAUUUAUUUAGCAUAAAAUAAAACGUGACAAAGUGACAUCAAAGAUUCAAGAUAUUUUGUGAGACAAACGUAGAAACACUUGAUCCUUUGCUGGCUUGUACAUUCAUUAUGAGGUCAUAAAUAGACAGCACCACGUCGGGUCCAACCUGCCAAACCUGGGGGAUAUUUUCCAGCCUUCAGUGAGAGACGAUCGCAGCAGAUCGGAUCAAUAAAUAGUUACUAAAAUGACAAGAGAGGGGUGAAUGUGAUUCAUGCUAAAACAAUGGGUCCUCGAUUGGGGAAAACACCCUCUUGCCCUUGUUGGACACAGGCUGUUGCAGACUAUUUAUUCUUGAAGUCAUAGAGAGGAUCCAAUUCCAAACAGUGUGUUCAUAUUUCCUGGGACUCUUGAGCCCAGACCGGUCUCCUUGUACAACAAACUCUAACAUGCCACAUCACAUUUGGCCUUGAUUUGAUGCAAAGAAAGCCCAGAACCACAUGCUCCUUCCUCCCACAACUGGAGAUGAAGCUUAAAUGGGCUAAAAGUGUCCUCAUUUGGUUUGGUUGAAAAGGAUAAAAAAGCUGUGCAUAUUCAUGGGAGCCGAACAUUUGAAUUCAUUUACAAUGCAAAUUAUAAACAAGCACAACUUCAUUCAGAGGAAUGCUCAUUUAAUAUGUGGCAAACUUCAACUUAUUAUCCCCCCAUCGCUUUGCUUUUUCUCCAAAACACAUCAAGCAAGGUCUCUGGCUGACAACAGGGUCUAUUUCAACAAGCCGUGCUCGUUCCUAGCUGUACAAAGAAAAGAAAAUUGUAUCUCAUCCCCUUCUCAUCAACACAAAGAUGAGGUUGGAAGGUCUCUUCUGCCUCAUCUUUCAUCUGAUAAAAGUACCGGCAACAAGGAUCUUUUUUUUUUAACAACAUCCUCUUAAUACAUUUUUUGAUACGCUCUUUUGAAAAUCCCCCUGCCGCAAUCAUACGCUGAUAGAUAUCCUCUGGAAGGCGAGCAGUGAGAUAAUGCACCAGCAAGGAACACAGUUCUUUACCAGAGCAAGAGAGACACCAGAGAUGGGCAGAAAAUCUUUAUUUUGCUUUUCAACCUUUUGAACCUAAACUGCCGAUCACGAUCGGACAUUGAACUUCUUGCCUGAGUUUACGAACCAACUUGAAUCGUGCAUCAGAGUCCUUUUGAUGAAUUUUCUGUUUUGGUAUUUUCUCUCCCCGGACAAAUAGUAACUACAAACCAUUUCCCUCUCUCUACACUGCAGACCUUUGAUCACACAUAGUUCACUGAGACGGGACUCCUAUUAACACACCUCUGAAACAGCCUGGUCCAAAAUAGGUGGCUGUUAGCAAAUUACCUGUGUAAUAGAUAGUGUGGGCAACGCCACGCUGUCAUUGCAGGCUUACUGCUAAAGGCCACAGGAAGCGCAGCGUUGAGUGUGAAGUCGUUCUGGGGAUCAGCUGCUCUCAUGAAAGCUGCAGAUGGAACAUUGAACUGCGCUGCAGAGACCUUGAGAGACAUGCAGGUGAAAAACUCGUCCGGUGUGCUUUGUGGUGUGUAGUGCGAAUGUAGUAUUCAUCCAGUCAAACAUCAGAGCAGAGAUCAGCACUUAAGGAACGUUACAUCUUGACUCUGUUUACAGCAGUAAAAGAAGCCUGUUACAACAUUUGAAUUAGCUUGAAUAUAAAAUGGCAACAGGCAGGUAGGAAUUCAAUACUGGACCAGGGCUUGUAAUUAAUGUCGUUGCAAGAGGUAAAAGCCACACAUCUUGAGGUGUAUAAUGGGGAGUGGUUUAGCACAGCAUCCAGGUCAGCUACUCGUAUAUUAAAAAGCCAGGACGGAUACAUUUAUUAGCAUGUUUAACAUCUCCAUUCUUGUGUAAAAAAAAAUGUCAUGAAACAUUCAAGGGCCGUCUGCUGUGUAUGUGUUACAUUAUUUACGUGGCACACUGCAGCAUCGGCCUUUUACGGCAAUGGCUCACUUUCAUUUUGAACUUAGGAUUGUUUUUGGUUAUUGAACAAGCAAACUAAGCCACUGUCAACUAAUCUGUUAAUGUACCCGGCGGUUCGAAGAGGACCAGGACCUGUUGACUUGACAAGAUCUGUUGGAACUGGUGCUUAGCCAAGAAAACCAAAACAAUAAAAGUGAAAAGAGAAACGUUUUUUCUCAUAAAUUUGUCGCCGGGCACAAGAUUCUCAUGCCCGAGAUAAUAAUAAUCUUCUAAAGUUCUGUUGGUGUGCAAACGUUAUUUGUAGAUAGAGUUGCAAAGGGGCGGAAAGUUUCUAGUAAAUUUCUGGAAACCUUUCAUGGGAAUUUUGUCUGCCAGAAACAUUAACAUAAAACUUGUUCUUUUUUAACAAUUUAUUUCUUUAUUUAUAUAAUUAUUGAUUACUUGGUAAACUGAAACCACGUUCAUUUUAACACCAAUUUUAACUGUAUUUAUACAGUAGGCUAACCUUUUGCAGCAAUGAAAGAAUUAAGUCACAAAUAGAAUAAGUCAAAAAUGUUAUUUUUAAUAUUUGUACUAUAAAUGUUUGCAUGCAUGUCUGCUUAUGACAAAACUAAAUGUUGUUUUGUCAUAUAUGACAAGGUAAAUACAGAUAAAUUACCCAAAUAUUUCCAGUUUAUUCUCAUUAAUGUCCAUAUAUUCCCAUGAAAAGUUUCCAACUUUGAAUAUUGUUAUAAUUAUAAUAUAUAUAAUUAAGGGAAUUGUUUUAAAUGACUGUCGCUCUAAAUGCAUGAUCGCUCUGUAAAUUGCAUUCCUUUUAAAGAAAGAUAUCAAAAACAUAAGGUGUAAUGGCAUAUUUUGAAAAUACAGGAAGUAAAACUGUGUUUUAUUUUCUCUCACAAACCUUUUAUGGCUCUAAAAAUCAAUUCUACAUUAUUUUUUGGCGAGCUCGUUUGACAAAACCACAGGCGAACUAAUAGCAAAGUGAGUUGAUGGAAGUUUCCUGAGGUCCAUUGGAAGCAGGUCAAUAGUAAAUCAAAUCGUGCUGGCUGAUACGAUGACCAGCUGAGAGCUGAGACGCCAGCGGCCCUGAGGUGGGUGGGGACAACGGGGACAGCAGAGGAAAGUCGAAGGCAGGAAGGGAGGCCCCGGGCGCAGGCCCACAUCUUAUCUGCUGCUGCCACUCAGUAGACACACAGCUGUGAUCCAGAUGCAGGUUAUUGGGAGCACAGAGGGCGACUCUCAGUCACCUCACAGAACGUGAUUCAAAACACGGCUCACAGAAACAAGAAUCUGGACUUGAUUCAUGUAUCGUGUGUCCAGUUUGUUCUCUAUGUCUAAACAUGCAAUUUAUACUUUAAUUUGUUGGUAUUCUCACAAAUGUGAGUUUAUUAGCGAGGGUUCCUUAAUCAGAGAAAUGAAACAGUGACUCAGUAUCUGAUAUUUCACUCUACAAUGAUCAAGGAGUCAGUGAGGGUGAGCACAGCUUUGAGUAGGGAUCCAACAUCUCAUUCAAGGACCCUUCAGCUCGACAGAUGUUUAAAUGUCUUUAUUUUUCUAGCACCGCCCCGAUACCUGCCAACACCACCGGUGUACCCCUGAGCAGUGUGCGCCUGCGUGCUCGUCCUCACACACACACACACACACACACACACACACACAUUUCAAUCUGCAUUAUUGCAGAGGGGAGUGGAUUUGUGCAGUUUAUUCAAUAUUGCCUGGAAUACCACUGCUUUAAGCCACCUGGGUAAACAGGUUAUUGCCAUAUCAAUCAUUUACAGCGACAUCCAACGGCCGAGACCACAGACACUAUUGACCAACACACUGACAGAGAUUAAUGCUGCUGCACAUAAACAGGCCCGUCCAGCGCCUCCUCCACCUAUCCGUCUCUCCAGGCUCCGUUCAUUUAUUUUCUCUUCUGUUCUCCCAAUCAUCUUUUUCUCUUCUGUCUCAUUUUCCACUUUCUCUGUUAUUUUUAGUUUCAAUUUUCUUUCCUCUUCAAACAAGAACACAAACAAAUCCCCUUAUGUGAGCCGUAACUUCAGCCUGACCUUUAAAGCCGUAUUAAGUUGGAUUAUAUUAAGCAAUAACCAAAACAAAUAGAGGCACGUAAUGGCUAUAAUUAUUAAUGAUUAACUCCUGUUGGAACUAGCUCUUGUGGGAGAAUCAUUUUAUUCAGAGUGAAAGGCCCAGCCGGGUCACAAGUUAUUGAACUGAGAAUCUUAAAUUCAGGAUGCAAAAAAGGUACUGCAGCCUGUUCAGCUCACAUUCAUGUUCGCGUACAGGCACAUACAUCAGAACCGCGCUUGUAACGCAGACAUAUUUGUCAUGAAAUAGCAUUGCCGUUCUGGUCACCAAGCCUGAUAGCACUAGCAUGAGCAUGAUACAUCCGCGCUCAAUGCUGAGAGUUGCUGC